This 74-nucleotide transfer RNA is filed under the name Ictidomys tridecemlineatus (thirteen-lined ground squirrel). RNAcentral's name for it is "Spermophilus tridecemlineatus (thirteen-lined ground squirrel) tRNA". It matches the Rfam family "tRNA". Rfam says of the family: Transfer RNA (tRNA) molecules are approximately 80 nucleotides in length. Their secondary structure includes four short double-helical elements and three loops (D, anti-codon, and T loops). Lineage: Eukaryota; Metazoa; Chordata; Mammalia; Rodentia; Sciuridae. The record is from Rfam by way of RNAcentral.
GGGGAUGUAGCUCAGUCGGUAGAGUGCUUGCCUUGCAUGCAUGUGGCCCCUGGGUUCAAUCCCCAGCAUCACAA